RNAcentral lists this transfer RNA (74 nucleotides) under Sus scrofa (pig). It matches the Rfam family "tRNA". Rfam says of the family: Transfer RNA (tRNA) molecules are approximately 80 nucleotides in length. Their secondary structure includes four short double-helical elements and three loops (D, anti-codon, and T loops). Lineage: Eukaryota; Metazoa; Chordata; Mammalia; Artiodactyla; Suidae. The record is from Rfam by way of RNAcentral.
UCCCCUGUGGCUUAGAGGGUUAAGGACUCUGCAUUAUCAUUGCUGUAGCUCAGGUUCGAUCCCUGACCUGGGAA